AUACGGAGGGUCCGAGCGUUAUCCGGAAUCAUUGGGUUUAAAGGGUCCGUAGGCGGGAAUCUAAGUCAGUGGUGAAAUCUUGCAGCUCAACUGUAAAAUUGCCAUUGAUACUGGAUUUCUUGAAUUAGUGUGAAGUGGUUAGAAUGUGUAGUGUAGCGGUGAAAUGCAUAGAUAUUACACAGAAUGCCAAUUGCGAAGGCAGAUCACUAACACUAUAUUGACGCUGAGGGACGAAAGCGUGGGGAGCGAACAGGAUUAGAAACCCGGGUAGUCC
Molecule: ribosomal RNA, 274 nt
Filed under: uncultured bacterium
Lineage: Bacteria
Description: partial 16S ribosomal RNA
Rfam family: Bacterial small subunit ribosomal RNA
Source: RNAcentral